AUGGCGUACCCCGAAAAGCCAUGAACAGAGUAGGGA
Mucilaginibacter lappiensis is the source of this 36-nucleotide non-coding RNA. Lineage: Bacteria; Pseudomonadati; Bacteroidota; Sphingobacteriia; Sphingobacteriales; Sphingobacteriaceae. The record is from Rfam.